CAUGUAUUGGUUGUUAUAAAAAUUCUAACAUUUAUCACAUCUCACACCACUGUAUUUCAGCUGGAUUCAAAGAAAAGCCUUUUGUGGAAGAACUGAAGGUGGCAGGUCUCAAGCUCAUUUCCAUUGAACAACUGAAAUGUUGAUGUACUCUGCUGCAGUGUGACUGUAUAUCCUGAAUUUAUAUUCAGAUCUCUGACAGAAGACAUUUGGUGUAUCCAGUCACAUGCUGUGGAAGGAGCUGAUGCCUUUCCAGAAGAAAUUAAUCACAUGGAGCCAU
Molecule: long non-coding RNA, 277 nt
Filed under: Cyanistes caeruleus (blue tit)
Lineage: Eukaryota; Metazoa; Chordata; Aves; Passeriformes; Paridae
Description: lncRNA (ENSCCEG00000000788.1)
Source: RNAcentral